RNAcentral lists this ribosomal RNA (493 nucleotides) under uncultured bacterium. Its description in RNAcentral is "bacterial SSU rRNA". It matches the Rfam family "Bacterial small subunit ribosomal RNA", at positions 17 to 507 of the family's 1533-position model. The record is from RNAcentral.
UCCUGGCUCAGAUUGAACGCUGGCGGCAUGCCUUACACAUGCAAGUCGAACGGCAGCGGACCUUCGGGUGCCGGCGAGUGGCGAACGGGUGAGUAAUAUAUCGGAACGUACCUUUCAGUGGGGAUAACGUAGCGAAAGUUACGCUAAUACCGCAUAUUCUGUGAGCAGGAAAGCAGGGGGAUCGCAAGACCUUGCGCUGAUUGAGCGGCCGAUAUCAGAUUAGCUAGUUGGUGAGGUAAAGGCUCACCAAGGCGACGAUCUGUAGCGGGUCUGAGAGGAUGAUCCGCCACACUGGAACUGAGACACGGUCCAGACUCCUACGGGAGGCAGCAGUGGGGAAUUUUGGACAAUGGGCGCAAGCCUGAUCCAGCCAUGCCGCGUGAGUGAAGAAGGCCUUCGGGUUGUAAAGCUCUUUCGGCCGGGAAGAAAUCGCACAGGUUAAUACCCUGUGUGGAUGACGGUACCGGAAUAAGAAGCACCGGCUAACUACGUG